AACGAACGCUGGCGGCGUGUUUAAGACAUGCAAGUCGCACGGGGUAUUUUGGUAUUUAUAUUGGAAUAUUCUAGUGGCGCACGGGUGAGUAACAUGUGAAUUACAUGCCCUUCAGUGGGGAAUAGCCCAGGGAAACUUGGAUUAAUACCCCAUGGUAUCGCAAGAUUAAAGGUGGCCGCAAGGCUGCCGCUGAAGGAUUGGUUCGCACCCUAUCAGCUUGUUGGCGGGGUAAUGGCCCACCAAGGCUACGACGGGUACCUGGUCUGAGAGGACGAUCAGGCACACUGGAACUGAGACACGGUCCAGACACCUACGGGUGGCAGCAGUCGAGAAUAAUUCACAAUGGGGGCAACCCUGAUGGUGCAACGCCGCGUGGAGGAUGACGGUCUUCGGAUUGUAAACUCCUGUCAUCUGGGAGUAAGCCUUGUUCGUUAAUAGCGUGCAAGGUUGAUAGUAGCCGAAGAGGAAGGGACGGCUAACUUCGUGCCAGCAGCCGCGGUAAUACGAAGGUCCCAAGCGUUGUUCGGAAUUACUGGGCGUAAAGCGUGCGUAGGCGGCGGGGUAAGUCAGAUGUGAAAUCCCGGGGCUCAACCCCGGAACUGCAUCCGAUACUGCCUUGCUAGAGUAAUGGAGGGGCAUCUGGAAUUCACGGUGUAGCAGUGAAAUGCGUAGAUAUCGUGAGGAACACUAGUGGCGAAGGCGAGAUGCUGGACAUUUACUGACGCUGAGGUACGAAGGCUAGGGUAGCGAACGGGAUUAGAUACCCCGGUAGUCCUAGCAGUAAACGGUGCUCGCUUGGUGUGGGAGGAUUCGACCCCUUCCGUGCCGGAGCUAACGCGUUAAGCGAGCCGCCUGGGGAGUACGGCCGCAAGAAUGAAACUCAAAGGAAUUGACGGGGGUCCGCACAAGCGGAGGAGCAUGUGGCUUAAUUCGAUGCAACGCGAAGAACCUUACCAAGGCUUGACAUGUAUUGCUAAGCACGUGAAAGCGUGUGACCCUUCGGGGACCUUACACAGGUGCUGCAUGGCCGUCGUCAGCUCGUGUCGUGAGAUGUUUGGUUAAGUCCAGCAACGAGCGCAACCCCUGUGAAUAGUUGCCAGCACGUAAUGGUGGGGACUCUAUUCAGACUGCCCAGGUCAACUGGGAGGAAGGUGGGGAUGACGUCAGGUCAGUAUGGCCCUUACGCCUUGGGCUGCACACGUACUACAAUGCCCAGUACAAUGAGAACCGAUACCGCGAGGUGGAGGAAAUCUGCAAAACUGGGCCCAGUUCGGAUUGGAGGCUGCAACUCGCCUCCAUGAAGUUGGAAUCGCUAGUAAUGGCACAUCAGCUACGGUGCCGUGAAUACGUUCCCGGGUCUUGUACACACCGCCCGUCACAUCAUGGAAGCCGGUCGCACCCGAAGUGCCUGCGUUAACCCGCAGGGAGGCAGGGUCCUAAGGUGUAACUGGUAACUGGGAUGAAGUCGUAACAAGGUAGCCGUAGGGGAACCUGCGGCUGGAUCACCUCCUUU
RNAcentral lists this ribosomal RNA (1513 nucleotides) under uncultured prokaryote. RNAcentral describes it as "partial 16S ribosomal RNA". It matches the Rfam family "Bacterial small subunit ribosomal RNA". The record is from RNAcentral.